AAUCCAUGAUAUGGGCAUCUCUGUAUUAGCAUUUUAAAAUGCUCCCAAGCUUUGUGAAAGCUCUCUCCUUUUAACUGCUUGAACAUUGUGAUCUCUCUCCUUAGUUG
This is a small nucleolar RNA of Gossypium raimondii (Peruvian cotton), 107 nucleotides long. It matches the Rfam family "Plant small nucleolar RNA R71". From Rfam's summary of the family: R71 is a member of the C/D box family of snoRNAs containing the C (UGAUGA) and D (CUGA) box motifs. Multiple nearly identical copies of this snoRNA have been identified in Arabidopsis, and it is thought to function as a 2'-O-ribose methylation guide for 18S ribosomal RNA. NCBI's taxonomy places the organism in Eukaryota, Viridiplantae, Streptophyta, Magnoliopsida, Malvales, Malvaceae. The record is from Rfam.